GACGAACGCUGGCGGCGUGCCUAAUACAUGCAAGUAGAACGCUGAAGAGAGGAGCUUACUCUUCUUGGAUGAGUUGCGAACGGGUGAGUAACGCGUAGGUAACCUGCCUUGUAGCGGGGGAUAACUAUUGGAAACGAUAGCUAAUACCGCAUAACAAUGGAUGACACAUGUCAUUUAUUUGAAGGGGGCAAUUGCUCCACUACAAGAUGGACCUGCGUUGUAUUAGCUAGUAGGUGAGGUAAUGGCUCACCUAGGCGACGAUACAUAGCCGACCUGAGAGGGUGAUCGGCCACACUGGGACUGAGACACGGCCCAGACUCCUACGGGAGGCAGCAGUAGGGAAUCUUCGGCAAUGGGGGCAACCCUGACCGAGCAACGCCGCGUGAGGGAAGAAGGUUUUCGGAUCGUAAAGCUCUGUUGUAAGUCAAGAACGGGUGUGAGAGUGGAAAGUUCACACUGUGACGGUAGCUUACCAGAAAGGGACGGCUAACUACGUG
Molecule: ribosomal RNA, 497 nt
Filed under: uncultured bacterium
Lineage: Bacteria
Description: partial 16S ribosomal RNA
Rfam family: Bacterial small subunit ribosomal RNA
Source: RNAcentral